This 96-nucleotide small RNA is filed under the name Chrysemys picta bellii (western painted turtle). Its description in RNAcentral is "TUC338 (ENSCPBG00000017621.1)". Lineage: Eukaryota; Metazoa; Chordata; Testudines; Emydidae. The record is from RNAcentral.
CAAAAAAUGCACAGCACGGGUAGUGGCAGUGCAAGCUUCCCAACACUGCUACACUAAUGUGCCUCAAACUUGACCUUGAGAAGAACCAUCUUGGGG